Molecule: long non-coding RNA, 454 nt
Organism: Suricata suricatta (meerkat)
Lineage: Eukaryota; Metazoa; Chordata; Mammalia; Carnivora; Herpestidae
Exons: 3
Source: RefSeq, a predicted model, not a curated record
AGAAGUGCUCCUUUGAGGUCUGGUCUCAUCUGAAUGACAAAUGGAUGUGUACCAUCUGUCGGGAAGCUGGGGGUGAUGAAGGAGACAUGGAGCGUUCCACAAAAUGAUGUGAUGGUUUUUUAAAACUUCUGAUAUCUACAUGGGACCUAAGAUUAUACAUUUUACAGAUGAAAAAACUUGAAAACAAGCAUAUGGGAUGAAUGGAACAUACGGUUCAUAUCACCUUGGAACAUCAAAUGGACUGUGAAAUAAUCUACCUACCGAAUGAUGGAGCCAUUGGUCAUCUGGACCAACCCAAUUUGUCAAAGUUAAAAAAUGUGACAUGUAAAGGGAUAGAGUGACUUAUCCAGGAAAGUUUCACUAGAAUGACAGAGUUCUCUAUUCCCGGUGUGCUGGGCCAUAAUUUGAUGCCCAAUAAUUUGUAAAUCCUAGUAAAAGUAAUCUAAAGAUCUUU